RNAcentral lists this ribosomal RNA (460 nucleotides) under uncultured bacterium. Its description in RNAcentral is "partial 16S ribosomal RNA". It matches the Rfam family "Bacterial small subunit ribosomal RNA", at positions 338 to 795 of the family's 1533-position model. The record is from RNAcentral.
CCUACGGGUGGCAGCAGUGAGGAAUAUUGGUCAAUGGGCGCGAGCCUGAACCAGCCAAGUCGCGUGAGGGAUGACGGCCCUACGGGUUGUAAACCUCUUUUGCCGGGGAGCAACGGGCGCCACGUGUGGCGCCACUGAGGGUACCCGGAGAAAAAGCAUCGGCUAACUCCGUGCCAGCAGCCGCGGUAAUACGGAGGAUGCGAGCGUUAUCCGGAUUCAUUGGGUUUAAAGGGUGCGCAGGCGGGCCUUUAAGCCGGCGGUGAAAUCGCGGGGCUCAACCCCGCCGAGCCGUCGGAACUGGGGGCCUUGAGUGCGGCGGAGGCAUGCGGAAUGCGCGGUGUAGCGGUGAAAUGCAUAGAUAUCGCGCAGAACCCCGAUUGCGAAGGCAGCGUGCCGUGCCGCCACUGACGCUGAGGCACGAAAGCGCGGGGAUCGAACAGGAUUAGAUACCCUUGUAGUC